CCCCACCCUCUUUUCCUUCUUCUUCUUCUUCUUGUGGCCGUUGACUCAGAAGGCGGAAGAGGAGUCACCAAGGCGACGAGACUCGCCGACAGUCGGGACCAAUUAGUCUGAGCGCUCGGCAGCCGCAUCGUCUGCUGCGAUAAGUCACGGCGCUGACGGACGAGCUGCCACUCGGCCGGCGAGUCAGAGGAGACGGACGAGCGGUCAGGACGCCUCGCCGUUUUAGACCUUUUAGUCCUUUUAGAUGCAAGCAAUCACUUGAAUCUAAAAGCUUUCAGGCUAAAAGUGUUGGAGCUUGAUUUGCUACAUUUAUUUAUUUAAAAAAUAAAAGAAAUCAGCUUCUAAAAGAAGAGAUCUGAUAAUGAACAAUGUGUUGCACAAAAGCAUUACACUCACAAACCAUGUUUUGUCAAAUGAAAAAUUCAAAUCAAGGAGCAUUCUGGGAGUUCACGUCUCGGCCGGAGCUGCAAAUCAUCUACGAUUGUUGCUUUAACAAUAGAUAAUGUUUUGAAAUGCUGAGUCUGCAUCGGCUGAUGGACAGUUAAAGGGUGCGUUUGGGUUUGUUCAAGUAAUUAGCUUAUGAAUCAAAGCAAAACCACACACACACGCAGUGUUUUACAAUUAUUUGGCCACACAAAUGACUGAUUACUUGUUGAGCGAGUUGUUUUCCCAUUUUUGGGAUAUUAUAAUAACAAGUAGACAAACCAAGCCGAUGAGCAGCGACGGCGGUUUUAUGUAAAAUGAAUUUAACUUCCUACAACAACUGAAUAAUAAAUAUUUUCACAUACACAUUAAUCCUUAGAGAUUAGAGGCUAAAAACCCAACAAAAGUUGUGGCGGUUCACACGCAACAGAAACGGCGAUAAAACACAAUAGAUAUUAAGUUGUUUUACAGCGGUCAGUGGAAAAGGGGGGGGGGUUGUCUCAUCGUGAAUUCUUCCUCCUAACGUCCCGUCUCUGGGGCCCCCCUGUGGCCCCCCUCAUGAAUCACUCCUGCUUCCUACCCUCGUCGGGACUGGUGAGCGUUCAGGCGGUUUGGAAACCGAAGUGAGGCUACGCGUGGCGCUCGCAGCCCUUUGCUCCGUCCUUUUACAGACAAACCAGCACUCAGCAUUCAGACCCAAUGUAAAUAAGAGGCUUCUCCGCUCCCUUUAUGGCUUAUUGAUUUUUUAGUUCGAUGCCCGGCUGCAGACAGAAAUAGCAGAAAAAGAGGAGAGGGAGGGACGGAAAGGAGGACGGAGAGGAUUGUUACGGAAUAUGAAGCAGCAGCGUGUCAGAGGCACAUUAAUGGCACCUAACACGCAAACGCAAGCCAGCCAGGACGCCGACGUACAGAUCUUCAUUAGUGUGGAAGUUGUGUCAUUCCUCGUCGAGCAUCUCGUGCGUGGCUCCACUUUGGCUCCCAACAGUAUCAAUAAUAUUAAGUAAGUCUCUAUAAAUUGUAUUUACCUCAAAAGACAUAAAGAAAUACUAAAUGUGAUACAGAUAAACUUUGGGGCAAAAAAGUUCUACUCAUUGAGAACAAAGAAGAAAAUGUCACCAGAUUUUGAUUCAAAUAUUGCUUCACCCUGCGAGGAGGGAAGGGAGAUCUCCCAGGUGUGUGUGUGUGUGUGUGUGUGUGUGUGUGUUUGCAGCAGCCAGAAGUGAACUGCAGUGACAGCAAACAUCAGCAUUGUCACAACACAACAGGAAGUCCUCACACACCAAUGCAAGCAGGCAGGUAAACACACACAGACACACACAAGGCUUCAGUCAGCAGCAGAGAUCUGCUGAACCAACAGCUCCGGGCCGGGAGGGAGGAACUGGGGGGGGGGGGGGGCCCACAGGACAAAAAUAAACAAUCUGACAAAAAGAGACACAAGGGACGUGACACAAAGGGGGGGGCACAUGAGUGCACUAAAUAUGACGCUUGAAGUAAAAAUAAACCAGGGCUAAAAGGCGGUUAACGAUGCAUGGAAAGACGAAAGCAACAGAUGAAGGACAAGGGUGGAGGAACUCCAUCCGGCUUCUUCAGCUCCACUUCUCUUCGUUUGCACUACGGCCCGAAAGCUCCUACCGGAAUAAUGAGCUCCAACCUUUAUGGCUUUAAGACAGCGAUCAUUAACCGUUCCCUCGGCCUGAAAUAGCAUUGACUUGAUGCUAAUUGUAAUAAAUUGCACAGAAAAUAGCUGCAGGACAAUGUUGGCUUUGAAACACGGUGCUGUGUGUAAUUAUAUUAUAAAACGGGUGUAUUCUCAUGACGUAAUCCACGUUUUUCUCAGGCCACCUUCGGGCAAAAGCUAAAGUGUCGCUUAAAAGCGAACGUUUCCACGACGACUGGCCGACGGAGAGCCCCACGUCAAUCACAUCCACCGACUCUUCGGUUCCCUACGAGCAAAGGGAAAGUGGCUCAACGGGGCUUCUUUGUUUCCCAGAGUUAAUUCACCAAACGCGUCUUCUCAACAGGAAAAAGGCAACUUAAACCAAAGCUCCGUCACACGUGUUUUUGAUCGGCCUUCAAUCGCGGAACUCGAGUCCGGGGGCUCGUCCGCCCACGCCCCUCAUCCGACAUCUGCCCUUAACCCUUCGCCAGGGUCACGGGAUUGCGAGUGCGGGCGUUUCGGGUGCUCGUGUCCAGUUGGGACCGCGCGGGACGCUUUGACGUGCACCUUCCCCCGCGUGCCGAUGAAAAGACCCCCCAGAGGCCCCAUUCAUGUGGGCCGAGGCCUCUUAAGUGGACCGAGGCACUCGCUCCGCAGCGCAGAGAGGGGGUCCAGGUGCCGAUUAAAAGGAAGAAGGAGACAGAGAAAGACAGUGGAUGGCGAGCAAGGGGAAGGGGACGUGCAUUGAAGGGAAGAGACGGGGGGAGAAAUCCUCUCUUGGAGGUACAAAUGCUCCUUCAAUGCUUUUGGCCCUUGGCUCUGAGUAGAGGGUGUGGGGGAGGAGGGGGGGGGGGGAUUCUGAUCCUCAUUAAAGGAGCACAAAGAACAUCAAAGAGCGACCCUGAACCCCUAUCAGUCAGGAGCACCCACAAUCCCCCAUGGUAUUAGAAGUCCCGGGCGUGUUCAGUGUUCGGGUCCUGAGGUGUGGGGGGGCGAGGGGCUCCGGGGGACUCAGGCUUUGGGGAACUUUAAGGCCCCCGAAGGUCAGUGGAAAGUUCAAGCUAACUUCUUCUCCCCCCUCCAGUGAUUGGCUGCUGCCGGUUAAGCUGGAGGAGAAGAUGAUAACUCGACACUGUAAAAACAUUUGAAAGUAUUUAAAGAUGAAAACGCGAGUCCUACAAUUAGCGGCUAGCUGAACUUGACAAUGUGAAACUAUUUUGACCGUUAAGUCAGCUUUGCUUUCCGGUCACAUUCAUUAUCUCACUUUGAAGUUGAAUUAAGGUCACUUCAUGUGCCACAAAAUCCUUUCAGCUCUUCCAGUUGCUGUUGGUCAAAAGUCACUUUCAAAGUAUACGCUAAAACGAAAGAGCAUCUCAGUGACGGUUAAAACAAGCAGUGUUAAACGUUAUCAUCGUUAUGUAGAUCUACAUACCGUUAAUCUUCUUAAAUCUGACAAAUACUUAUCAUAAAGAAAGGGCACCCUAAGACAGUGAACCCUAAAAUAAUGUAUGUUGGCGAACAAAAAAAAAGGCUGAAAAUGUCAGUUAACUUCACUAAAUAUUGACGCCUUUAUUAAGUCAAAGCAGCGUGACAUCAUGAAGUGUUCGGGGCAAAGGCCGGUACCCGAGGAGAAACGCUGUAGAUACAGAAUCUGAACUCAGAACCUGAGUAGACCCGGGUCACAACGACACAACACACCUAAAGGAGCCUUUUCCUAUCAAACACACAACAACUGCACCGCUUUCCUCCGGCUACGAACCCAAAACAUUCAACCCUAAACUUCAGAUCCACGCACACACACACGCACACACACGCACACACACACGUCUCUGUCUAUUAUUUACGAGCGGUUAUGCUGCGGUUCAAACAGAGGACAGCAGACAAACCCGGAAAUGUGACAUCGGAUUGUUAAAUAUCACUGAGUCUCACCUCUUCAACCCGAGCAGCUGUAAGAGCUCUGAUAAGCGAACGUGAAAGGCACGGCCUUUAACUUAACAUUUCGGAUCACUAUAUAUUAUAGCCAUCUCUAUCAAUUUUAUUGAGCUAUGUUGUUGUAAAAAAAAAAAAGAUAAGAUAAUUGUUGCCCAUAAAAGUAAAAAAGCAAAGAAAUCAUUUCCAUUACUUUUUUCUGAGUGACUGCAUUAAAGAGCUAUGAUGAAGUGACACAAUCAGCAGAGUAUUCAACCUAAACCUUCUUUUUUUCAGCUCUAACUAUAAAAUAGUCCUGCAAAAAAAAAUGAAGAAACUGAAGAAACGGGAUAUGUGAAGGAGCCGUAUUGAUUCUUCAAAUCAAGAAGAUGACCCAUGGAGGGUGACUGGAUUGAAAUGUAGUAGGUUGCUCGACACAAUAAAAAAGGGCUCCUAAUUAAAAACGUCUUGGCGUUUGGAUCAAGAGGAGCAAGAGCCGUUUGCUGAUGCCAGCGCUUCUCUUAUUGGCACGCCAAUAAUUCACAGACCUUCCAGGGAGUCGAGUGGAUUAGCCCAACUGGACCCGAGAAUUCACAGGAAGGGACAAAAACUUUGCUGCACGCGGCAAUGAAUACAUUGACUUUCUAAUUUUCGCAAGACAAAUGUUGCUGAUGAAGCAAUCGGUUCGGGAACCGAAGCACUGAAGCUCAAUUUUUGCGCCCUGAGCCUCCCAUUCGUCACAUGGACAGCCGCGGCCUGCGGUUACCGCCUGGAUUUGCUUACCGUCCACACGCUCACUUAUCAAACGGGAAACUGAAGCUAAAUGUCAUAUGGAUUGUUUUUAGCUUGAUGAGCACGAGUUCAGCUACAUGUGUGUGUGUGUAGCUUCUCUGUCCGUUGAAAUAAUCCUCCCAGGUGUGUUUGUUUGUUCAGAUCCUGCGUCUGAGCAUCUGAUACGUCUGGGCCGACCUCUGUGGCAGUGACCCAGAUGUUUUGAUUGAUUUGUAAAGUCAUUCAAAUCUCAGCUGGAGAAUAAAGGACUUGAUGUCGUCAGCAUGGAGUUUGAAGAUAAGCCUAAAAUAAGCCGCAAUUAUCAGGUGGCCACGCAUAUUACGCUUCAGCGCACAAGCUCGCUCACACAAAGACCACCUCAUUCUCUCCCAUUCGUAUCCAUUAUGUUUCCCUUUGACCGUGACCUCGUCGCAACAUCAAAGGAGAAGCUACUUGACUUCUAACUCAUCAUGCGUCCAAGCCAAUUUUCGGGUUCGCGGUGGCGUUUCGUUAAAAAAAGGGGCCGGCAUCACGCAUCAUUACUGCUCGAGGAGAGCAUGCAGAGAACCUCACU
Long non-coding RNA from Gasterosteus aculeatus aculeatus (three-spined stickleback), 5333 nucleotides. The record is from Ensembl. Lineage: Eukaryota; Metazoa; Chordata; Actinopteri; Perciformes; Gasterosteidae.